GAUGAACGCUGGCGGCGUGCCUAAUACAUGCAAGUCGAGCGAACAGACGAGGAGCUUGCUCCUCUGACGUUAGCGGCGGACGGGUGAGUAACACGUGGAUAACCUACCUAUAAGACUGGGAUAACUUCGGGAAACCGGAGCUAAUACCGGAUAAUAUAUUGAACCGCAUGGUUCAAUAGUGAAAGACGGUUUUGCUGUCACUUAUAGAUGGAUCCGCGCCGCAUUAGCUAGUUGGUAAGGUAACGGCUUACCAAGGCGACGAUGCGUAGCCGACCUGAGAGGGUGAUCGGCCACACUGGAACUGAGACACGGUCCAGACUCCUAUGGGAGGCAGCAGUAGGGAAUCUUCCGCAAUGGGCGAAAGCCUGACGGAGCAACGCCGCGUGAGUGAUGAAGGUCUUCGGAUCGUAAAACUCUGUUAUUAGGGAAGAACAAAUGUGUAAAUAACUAUGCACGUCUUGACGGUACCUAAUCAGAAAGCCACGGCUAACUACGUG
RNAcentral lists this ribosomal RNA (497 nucleotides) under uncultured bacterium. Its description in RNAcentral is "partial 16S ribosomal RNA". It matches the Rfam family "Bacterial small subunit ribosomal RNA", at positions 28 to 507 of the family's 1533-position model. The record is from RNAcentral.